Molecule: long non-coding RNA, 1898 nt
Filed under: Mus musculus (house mouse)
Lineage: Eukaryota; Metazoa; Chordata; Mammalia; Rodentia; Muridae
Description: long non-coding RNA chr3:90093122-90095020
Source: RNAcentral
UUUUUUUUUUUUUGAUUUUUUAUUUAUUAUAUGUAAGUACACUGUAGCUGUUAUCAGACACUCCAGAAGAGGGCAUCAGAUUUCGUUAUGGAUGGUUGUGAGCCACCAUGUGGUUGCUGGGAUUUGAACUCGGGACCUUCGGAAGAGCAGUCGGCGCUCUUAACCACUGAUCCAUCUUGCCAGCCCGGUGUUUUCUAGCUCUCCUGUCCUAAUAGACAUUAACGCAGCUGAGGAGCCCCCUGCAUGUAGGUUGCUCUGAGUCUAAAGUACAAGCCUAAAGCUAAAGCUGUUGUUGAGCUGCACAUAGUAAAGGUCAGGGUGCACAUAGUAAAGGGAGGGGUGCUGCUGUCACGGUGACCUCCAAAUUAGAAUUUUGAGCUCUUUGUCUUUUUGAGUAAGUUUUACACUAGCCCUGGAUGUCCUAGAACUCAGUCUAUGCCCAAGCUGUCCUUGAACUCACGGCAGUCCUUCCUCUGCCUCUCAAGACAGCACCACCAACUGUACUGUAUGAGGUGUGUUCAUUGUGUUUGGUUUGGUGGUGCAGAACUCUGAACCCAGAGCCUUGAGCUCCAUCACCAGCCCCAGGAUUGGCUUUUCAUGAGCAGAAUGCAGUUUAGAGGUAGUCAAGACUCAGUAUUCCAGCCACAGAAACACAGAGUGAAGAAGCUUAGCUAGGGAGGAACACAGUAGCUCUGCAGGUUUGUGGGCAGGAUGGUUGCCGAAGCUUUGUCCUUGUCAGAUAGCUGAGGGAGACGCCACUGUAGUUUAUGAACUAGUGUGUGCUCCGAAAAGAAUGAAAGUUGUUGCAUCUGGGCAUGGUGGCUAAGCCUGUACCCAGCAUUCUGGAGACUAAGGAAGGAAGAUCAAAAGUUCAAGGCCACACACACUAAACUACAUAACAAGACCCUGGGUCAAAAAUAAUAAACAAGGCUGGGUGUGGUGGUAUAUGCCUCUUUAAUCUCAACAUACGGAUCUCUGACUUCGAGGUCAGUACUGUCUAUAUAACAAGUUCUGGGCCAGCCAGUAUAGUGAGAUUCUUUUAAGACAACAACUUUUACUGGGUGGUAUACGCCUUUAUUCCCAGCACUUAGAAGGCAUAUAUGAGUUUGAGACAAGCUUGGUCUACAGAACCAGUCCCAGGACAUCCAGGGCUACGUUGAGAACACUGCACAAAAACAAAAAACUUUUCCAAGUAAAAAAAUAGUAUAUUUGGUAUGUGUAUAUACAUAUAUAUUGGGUUGAGUGUUCUGGCCCCAAGUUACAGAUGUUUGCGUAUCAUUGUACUAGCUAAUAUUGGUCUGCUAUCUUUGUUUUCAAAUCGACUCUUGCUUUUAAAAUGUUUUAAAGUUCACAAGAUAAACAGUAACAUGCACACACCACUAACCAAGAAUAUGCUGUACUUCGGGAAAUGCUAGAUUAGGCUGCAGAUUUCUCUAUUUUUCUGAGCCAGGGUCUCACUGUGUAGCUAUGGCUAACCUGAGACACAGCAGUCCUCUAAUCUCAGCCUCCAGUGAGCUGGGUAACAGGCAUGCACAGCCCUGCCUGAUAAGAUAAACACUUUGACAACUAAGUGUGCAGAGGUAAAGUUAGGUAACUGGUUUUGAGACUGAGAAAGUGAUUUCAUGAAAGAUGGUAGGGAGCUAAUGUCCUGGCUUGGAAUUUGGGAAGCAGGAGAAGCAUAUGUCUGAGAAACUCGUGGUCAACGAGGGGAGGAGCUGAUAGAAAUUUUGGAAUCCAAACGGUAUUUUAAGGGUAUAUCCAAGGUAUUUUAAGUUAUAAAGAUGCUAGUCAUAGUGCUACAUUCCUUUAACCCCAUCACCCGGGCAGAGGAAAGCCAGUCUACAUAGUUCAGGACAGCCAGUAGUACAAAGAGAGACCCUGUCUGAAAGAAAGAAGUG